Molecule: ribosomal RNA, 1044 nt
Filed under: Aquaticheirospora lignicola
Lineage: Eukaryota; Fungi; Ascomycota; Dothideomycetes; Pleosporales; Massarinaceae
Description: SSU rRNA
Rfam family: Eukaryotic small subunit ribosomal RNA
Source: RNAcentral
GACUAGUAUACAUUUAUACCGUGAAACUGCGAAUGGCUCAUUAAAUCAGUUAUCGUUUAUUUGAUAGUACCUUACUACUUGGAUACCCGUGGUAAUUCUAGAGCUAAUACAUGCUAAAAACCCCGACUUCGGGAGGGGUGUGUUUAUUAGAUAAAAAACCAACGCCCUUCGGGGCUCCUUGGUGAUUCAUGAUAACCUCUCAGAUCGCACGGCCUUGCGCCGGCGACGGUUCAUUCAAAUUUCUGCCCUAUCAACUUUCGAUGGUAAGGUAUUGGCUUACCAUGGUUUCAACGGGUAACGGGGAAUUAGGGUUCGAUUCCGGAGAGUGAGCCUGAGAAACGGCUCACACAUCCAAGGAAGGCAGCAGGCGCGCAAAUUACCCAAUCCCGACACGGGGAGGUAGUGACAAUAAAUACUGAUACAGGGCUCUUUUGGGUCUUGUAAUUGGAAUGAGUACAAUUUAAACCUCUUAACGAGGAACAAUUGGAGGGCAAGUCUGGUGCCAGCAGCCGCGGUAAUUCCAGCUCCAAUAGCGUAUAUUAAAGUUGUUGCAGUUAAAAAGCUCGUAGUUGAAUCUUUGGCCUGGCUGGCGGGUCCGCCUCACCGCGUGCACUUGUCCGGCCGGGCCUUCUCUUCUGGAGAACCGCAUGCCCUUCACUGGGCGUGUUGGGGACCAGGACUUUUACUUUGAAAAAAUUAGAGUGUUCAAAGCAGGCCUUUGCUCGAAUACGUUAGCAUGGAAUAAUAGAAUAGGACGUGCGGUCCUAUUUUGUUGGUUUCUAGGACCGCCGUAAUGAUUAAUAGGGACAGUCGGGGGCAUCAGUAUUCAAUUGUCAGAGGUGAAAUUCUUGGAUUUAUUGAAGACUAACUACUGCGAAAGCAUUUGCCAAGGAUGUUUUCAUUAAUCAGUGAACGAAAGUUAGGGGAUCGAAGACGAUCAGAUACCGUCGUAGUCUUAACCAUAAACUAUGCCGACUAGGGAUCGGGCGGUGUUAUCGAUUUGACCCGCUCGGCACCUUGCGAGAAAUCAAAGUGUUUGGGUCU